UAGGGAAUCUUCGGCAAUGGGGGCAACCCUGACCGAGCAACGCCGCGUGAGUGAAGAAGGUUUUCGGAUCGUAAAGCUCUGUUGUAAGAGAAGAACGUGUGUGAGAGUGGAAAGUUCACACAGUGACGGUAACUUACCAGAAAGGGACGGCUAACUACGUGCCAGCAGCCGGGGUAAUACGUAGGUCCCGAGCGUUGUCCGGAUUUAUUGGGCGUAAAGCGAGCGCAGGCGGUUUAAGAAGUCUGAAGUGAAAGGCAGUGGCUUAACCAUUGUUCGCUUUGGAAACUGUUAGAGUUGAGUGCAGAAGGGGAGGGUGGAAUUCCAUGUGUAGCGGUGAAAUGCGUAGAUAUAUGGAGGAACACCGGUGGCGAAAGCGGCUCUCUGGUCUGUAACUGACGCUGAGGCUCGAAAGCGUGGGGAGCAAACAGG
Molecule: ribosomal RNA, 429 nt
Filed under: bacterium
Lineage: Bacteria
Description: partial 16S ribosomal RNA
Rfam family: Bacterial small subunit ribosomal RNA
Source: RNAcentral